Molecule: ribosomal RNA, 879 nt
Filed under: uncultured bacterium
Lineage: Bacteria
Description: bacterial SSU rRNA
Rfam family: Bacterial small subunit ribosomal RNA
Source: RNAcentral
GAUGAACGCUGGCGGCGUGCCUAACACAUGCAAGUCGAACGAAGCGCUGGAACGGAUUUCUUCGGAUUGAAGAUCCAGUGACUGAGUGGCGGACGGGUGAGUAACGCGUGGGUAACCUGCCUCAUACAGGGGGAUAACAGUUAGAAAUGGCUGCUAAUACCGCAUAAGCGCACAGCUUCGCAUGGAGCAGUGUGAAAAACUCCGGUGGUAUGAGAUGGACCCGCGUCAGAUUAGGUAGUUGGUGGGGUAAUGGCCUACCAAGCCGACGAUCUGUAGCCGACCUGAGAGGGUGACCGGCCACAUUGGGACUGAGACACGGCCCAAACUCCUACGGGAGGCAGCAGUGGGGAAUAUUGCACAAUGGGGGAAACCCUGAUGCAGCGACGCCGCGUGAGCGAAGAAGUAUUUCGGUAUGUAAAGCUCUAUCAGCAGGGAAGAUAAUGACGGUACCUGACUAAGAAGCUCCGGCUAAAUACGUGCCAGCAGCCGCGGUAAUACGUAUGGAGCAAGCGUUAUCCGGAUUUACUGGGUGUAAAGGGAGCGUAGACGGUUGUGCAAGUCUGAUGUGAAAUUCCAGGGCUUAACCCUGGACCUGCAUUGGAAACUGUAUAACUAGAGUGUCGGAGAGGUGAGUGGAAUUCCUAGUGUAGCGGUGAAAUGCGUAGAUAUUAGGAGGAACACCAGUGGCGAAGGCGGCUCACUGGACGAUAACUGACGUUGAGGCUCGAAAGCGUGGGGAGCAAACAGGAUUAGAUACCCUGGUAGUCCACGCCGUAAACGAUGUGUAUUAGGUGUUGGGGAGCAAAGCUCUUCGGUGCCGUCGCAAACGCAAUAAGUACACCACCUGGGGAGUACGUUCGCAAGAAUGAAACUCAAAGG